UACGUAGGGGGCUAGCGUUGUCCGGAAUCAUUGGGCGUAAAGAGCGUGUAGGCGGUCCGGUAAGUCCGUUGUGAAAGUCGGGGGCUCAACCCUCGAAUGCCGGUGGAUACUGUCGGGCUAGAGUGCGGAAGAGGCGAGUGGAAUUCCUGGUGUAGCGGUGAAAUGCGCAGAUAUCAGGAGGAACACCUAUUGCGAAGGCAGCUCGCUGGGACGUAACUGACGCUGAGACGCGAAAGCGUGGGGAGCGAACAGG
RNAcentral lists this ribosomal RNA (253 nucleotides) under uncultured bacterium. Its description in RNAcentral is "partial 16S ribosomal RNA". It matches the Rfam family "Bacterial small subunit ribosomal RNA", at positions 524 to 776 of the family's 1533-position model. The record is from RNAcentral.